Molecule: ribosomal RNA, 819 nt
Filed under: Jingophrys yeae
Lineage: Eukaryota; Metazoa; Chordata; Amphibia; Anura; Megophryidae
Description: partial small subunit ribosomal RNA
Rfam family: Bacterial small subunit ribosomal RNA
Source: RNAcentral
CAAAGGUCUGGUCCUGGCCUUAUUAUCAAUUAUAGCUUAACUUACACAUGCAAGUCUCCUCACCCCCGUGAAAACGCCCUCCUCCUCCUAAUAAGAGAAGGAGGAGCUGGUAUCAGGCCCAUACGCCCACGACACCUAGCCCAGCCACACCCCCAAGGGUACUCAGCAGUGAUCAAUAUUGGAAACUAGCGCAAGCUAAAUUCAGUUAUAGCUAAGAAGACCGGUUAAUCUCGUGCCAGCCACCGCGGUUAUACGGGCAGGUUUAAAUUGAUAACUUCGGCACAAAGCGUGGUUAAAUAUUCCUCUUAAUAAAGCAAAAGAAAAGCCAAGCUGUGAUAUGCUCUCGCUUUACGAACCCCAAUUACGAAAGUAGCUUUAACCUUAAUUGAACCCACGAUCGCUAGGGCACAAACUGGGAUUAGAUACCCCACUAUGCCUAGCCCUAAACUUUGACACACUCCGCCUGGGGACUACGAGCGUUAGCUUAAAACCCAAAAGACUUGGCGGUGCCCUAUACCACCUAGAGGAGCCUGUUCUAUAAUCGAUGACCCCCGAUUCACCUCACCAUCUCUUGCCAAUACCGCCUGUAUACCUCCGUCGCCAACUGACCCCACAAGGGACACAGUCAGUAUAAUGGACUACCACCAGUAAGUCAGGUCAAGGUGCAGCGUAUGAAAUGGGAAGCAAUGGGCUACAUUUUCUACCAAUAGACCACACGAAAGAUCACUAUGAAAUCUGAUCGGAAGGCGGAUUUAGCAGUAAAAAGAGACCAGAGAGCUCUUUUUAAGCAGGCUCUAGGGCGCGCACACACCGCCCGUC